CCUCACGCUGUGUGAGGACCCCCAACGUCGCUCAUUUCCCCAUAGGAAAGCAUUGAAAUGCAUUGAAAUGCUUUCCUAUGGGGAGCCCUACCGGCCGGUGGGUGGGAUCAGUCUUGCCCAUCUGCCGACGCAAUCAGAGGGAGGAGCGCGCGGAGGAAGAAGCAGCGACGUGGGACAUAGUCGCUGCCUCAUGUAAGUCACUGAAGGGGUUUUCACCCCUACAACAACCAGG
Molecule: non-coding RNA, 232 nt
Organism: Pelobates cultripes (western spadefoot toad)
Lineage: Eukaryota; Metazoa; Chordata; Amphibia; Anura; Pelobatidae
Source: the annotation of a GenBank genome assembly